UAAAAAAUGAGGUGUGAAAAGUUUGGUUGCAAAAGGAAUUGAUCUUGGUUAGGUUUUGGCUUAGCCAAGUUCGGUGGAUUGGCUAUUUUUGCCUUGGUAGCAAAAUUGGUGAAUAAGUGAAGUUAUGGUUUUUCUGCAAUCUUGGUGGGGAAUUGUCACAAAUGCAUAAAACAUGAGGUGUGAAAAGUUUGGUUGCAAAAGGAAUUGAUCUUGGUUGGGUUUUGGCUUAGCCAAGUUCGGUGGAUUCGGUUUUUUUGCCUUGGUAGCUAAAUUCGUGAAUAAGUGAAGUUAUGGGUUUUGUGCAAUCAUGGUGAGGGAUUGUCACAAAUGCAUUAAAAAUGAGGUGUGAAAAGUUUGGUUGGAAAAGGAAUUGAUCUUGGUUGGGUUUUGGCUAUGCAAAGUUCGGUGGAUUGACUUUUUUUGCCAUGGUAGCAAAAUUGGUGAAUAAGUGAAGUUAUGGUUAUUGUGCAAUCUCUAAGGGGAAUUGUCACAAAUGACAAUCAAAAAUGAGGUGUGUAAAGUUUGGUUGCAAAAGGAAUUGAUCUUGGUUUGUUUUGGCUUAGCCAAGUUCAGUGGAUUGCUUGUUUGGCCUUGGAAGCAAAAUUGGUGAAUAAGUAAAAUCGUGGUUUUUGCGCAAUCUUGGUGGGGAAUUGUCACAAAUGCAUCCAAAAUGAGGUGUGCAAAGUUUGGUUGCAAAAAUGAAAUAAACUUUGUUAUAAAUUAAGGUACAGGUUCGAAUUCCAUAGAGAAUAUAGAUGAUAUUAUCUAGAAUGCUAGAAAAAAAGAAAAGACUUUCGAAAGAUUUUAUCCAAUUGAAAUUUUGAAAAUAACUGGAAUAAGAUUAAGAAUUCAAUCAUUGAAAGUGAAUAAGUAAGUAAACAUUUAAAGGGGAUUGGUUGAAUAGUACCAAAAAAUGGAGUACUAAUUCCCAUUUCUUAUUUAUUAUUGAAUUAACCGAUAAAUUUGCUUUAUUUUCGAACAUUUCUUUUUGAUUUCAAAACUUUUUCGAAAAAAAAUUGGCUUUUGAUAUGGGAAUCAAUCCUACUACUUCCGGUCCUGAAGUUUCUUCGCGUGAAAAAAA
RNAcentral lists this long non-coding RNA (1081 nucleotides) under Phaseolus vulgaris (common bean). Its description in RNAcentral is "long non-coding RNA (PVUL_LNC005319)". The record is from RNAcentral. Lineage: Eukaryota; Viridiplantae; Streptophyta; Magnoliopsida; Fabales; Fabaceae.